Molecule: ribosomal RNA, 253 nt
Filed under: uncultured bacterium
Lineage: Bacteria
Description: partial 16S ribosomal RNA
Rfam family: Bacterial small subunit ribosomal RNA
Source: RNAcentral
UACGUAGGGGGCAAGCGUUGUCCGGAAUCAUUGGGCGUAAAGAGCGUGUAGGCGGCCUUACAGGUCAGCUGUGAAAACUCGAGGCUCAACCUCGAGACGUCGGUUGAAACCGUAUGGCUAGAGUCCGGAAGAGGAGAGUGGAAUUCCCGGUGUAGCGGUGAAAUGCGCAGAUAUCGGGAGGAACACCGGUGGCGAAGGCGGUUCUCUGGGCCUUACCUGACGCUGAGGAGCGAAAGCGUGGGGAGCGAACAGG